GAUGAACGCUGGCGGCGUGCCUAAUACAUGCAAGUCGAGCGAACAGACGAGGAGCUUGCUCCUCUGACGUUAGCGGCGGACGGGUGAGUAACACGUGGAUAACCUCCCUAUAAGACUGGGAUAACUUCGGGAAACCGGAGCUAAUACCGGAUACUAUACUGAACCGCAUGGUUCAAUAGUGAAAGACGGCUUUGCUGUCACUUAUAGAUGGAUCCGCGCCGCAUUAGCCAGUUGGUAAGGUAACGGCCUACCAAGGCAACGAUGCGUAGCCGACCUGAGAGGGUUGACGGCCCACCCGGAACCGAGGCGCCGUCCCAGCUUCUGCGGGAAGCACCCGUGGGGCAGCCUACAGAAGAGGCGAAAGCCUGAAGGAGCCACGGCAGAUUUAGGUGUGAAGGUCUGAGAGCGUUAAAGCGAGUUGUUAGGGAAGAACAAAUGUGUAAGUAACUAUGCACGGCUUGACGGUACCUAAUCAGAAAGCCACGGCUAACUACGUG
RNAcentral lists this ribosomal RNA (497 nucleotides) under uncultured bacterium. RNAcentral's name for it is "partial 16S ribosomal RNA". It matches the Rfam family "Bacterial small subunit ribosomal RNA", at positions 28 to 507 of the family's 1533-position model. The record is from RNAcentral.